AGACCCGAAACCCGGUGAUCUAGCCAUGGGCAGGUUGAAGGUUGGGUAACACUAACUGGAGGACCGAACCGACUAAUGUUGAAAAAUUAGCGGAUGACCUGUGGCUGGGGGUGAAAGGCCAAUCAAACCGGGAGAUAGCUGGUUCUCCCCGAAAGCUAUUUAGGUAGCGCCUCGUGAAUUCAUCUCCGGGGGUAGAGCACUGUUUCGGCUAGGGGGCCAUCCCGGCUUACCAACCCGAUGCAAACUGCGAAUACCGGAGAAUGUUAUCACGGGAGACACACGGCGGGUGCUAACGUCCGUCGUGAAGAGGGAAACAACCCAGACCGCCAGCUAAGGUCCCAAAGUCAUGGUUAAGUGGGAAACGAUGUGGGAAGGCCCAGACAGCCAGGAUGUUGGCUUAGAAGCAGCCAUCAUUUAAAGAAAGCGUAAUAGCUCACUGGUCGAGUCGGCCUGCGCGGAAGAUGUAACGGGGCUAAACCAUGCACCGAAGCUGCGGCAGCGACGCUUAUGCGUUGUUGGGUAGGGGAGCGUUCUGUAAGCCUGUGAAGGUGGCCUGUGAGGGUUGCUGGAGGUAUCAGAAGUGCGAAUGCUGACAUAAGUAACGAUAAAGCGGGUGAAAAGCCCGCUCGCCGGAAGACCAAGGGUUCCUGUCCAACGUUAAUCGGGGCAGGGUGAGUCGACCCCUAAGGCGAGGCCGAAAGGCGUAGUCGAUGGGAAACAGGUUAAUAUUCC
Molecule: ribosomal RNA, 732 nt
Filed under: Salmonella enterica
Lineage: Bacteria; Pseudomonadati; Pseudomonadota; Gammaproteobacteria; Enterobacterales; Enterobacteriaceae
Also listed under: 3 other names
Description: partial 23S ribosomal RNA
Rfam family: Bacterial large subunit ribosomal RNA
Source: RNAcentral